This 72-nucleotide transfer RNA is filed under the name Camelus bactrianus (Bactrian camel). It matches the Rfam family "tRNA". Rfam says of the family: Transfer RNA (tRNA) molecules are approximately 80 nucleotides in length. The record is from Rfam by way of RNAcentral. Lineage: Eukaryota; Metazoa; Chordata; Mammalia; Artiodactyla; Camelidae. RNAcentral also lists the same sequence under 2 other names.
GUGGGUAUAGCUCAGUAAUAGAGCAUGUGCUUGGUAUACACGAGGUUCUGGGUUCAAUCCCCAGUGCUUCCA